CAACUCCUUAUUGAGGAGAUUAUUUACCAAGGCCCCGUUUGGAUACUCCUGAAAAUGUAGCAUAGUUAAACUAUACUACGGCAGUAGAAAAAAUAUUCUAUGAAGUGUUUGGGAGGAAAAAAAAGUAAUGUAAUUUUUGGAGUAUAGUUAAACGUACUAUAUUCCAAAAAAUGGAGUAAAAGUAUAAUCUAUUCUAAUCAAAGGAAAAAAAUUCCACCAUUCUUGAGCUCCCUUAUUCAAAAAAAUGCAUCAAGUUUAAACUUUUAAAUUUCAACAUAAAAUUUUAAAUUUCAACUUUCAAAUCUCAUAGAUCAAAUCUCAAAUUUUAAACUUUAAAUUCUAAAUUUAUUUUUUAAAAUUUAAAAUUUAAAAUUUAAAAUUCUAAAUUUCAAAUUUCAAAUUUUAAAUAUCAAAUUUUUUAUUUUAAAUAAAAUUUCAAAUAUAAAUUUUAAAAUUUAAAAUUUAAAAUUUAAAUUUCAAACUUUAAAUUUAAAAUUUUAACUUUUAAAAUUUAAAAUUUAAAAUUUAAAAUUUAAAUUUCAAAUUUGAAAUUUCAAAUCUCAAAUCUUGUAGUUCAAAUUUCAAAUUUUAAACUUUAAAUUUUAAAUUUAUUUUUUAAACUUUAAAUUUAAAAUUUAUUUUUUAAAUUUAAAAUUUAUUUUUUAAAUUUCUAAAUUUCAAAUUUCAAAAUUCAAAUUUUAAAUUUUUUAUUUUAAAAUUUUAAAUCUAAAAAUUUAAAAAUUAAAUUUACAUUUUUAUAAUUUAAAUUUUAAAUUUUUAAAUUUUAAAUUUGAAAAUUUAAAAUUUAAAAUUCAAAAUUUAACAUUUCACAUAUCAAAUUUUAAAUUUUAAAUUUUAACUUUUAAUUUUAAAAUUUAGAAAAAUUUAGUGAAAUUGUAAAAUGCGUAUCCAAACAGUUUAAAAAUUGAAUCCGUGGAAUUUUUUAGAGUUGCAGGAUUCUCUAUUUUAUCUAGACUAAAACCACAGUUUAUAAAUUUCGUGAAUAACUUUUACUGUGCAUCCAAACAGGCCCUAAUUCUUUUUUGGUUUCUAGUAAAACUAAUAAAAACA
This 1071-nucleotide long non-coding RNA is filed under the name Ananas comosus (pineapple). RNAcentral's name for it is "long non-coding RNA (ACOM_LNC009839)". The record is from RNAcentral. Lineage: Eukaryota; Viridiplantae; Streptophyta; Magnoliopsida; Poales; Bromeliaceae.